Molecule: ribosomal RNA, 438 nt
Filed under: uncultured bacterium
Lineage: Bacteria
Description: partial 16S ribosomal RNA
Rfam family: Bacterial small subunit ribosomal RNA
Source: RNAcentral
CUACGGGCCGCUGCAGUGAGGAAUAUUGCACAAUGGGGGGAACCCUGAUGCAGCAACGCCGCGUGGAGGAUGACGCAUUCGGUGUGUAAACUCCUUUUAUAUGUCAAGAAAAUGACGGUAGUAUGUGAAUAAGCACCGGCUAACUCCGUGCCAGCAGCCGCGGUAAUACGGAGGGUGCAAGCGUUACUCGGAAUCACUGGGCGUAAAGGACGCGUAGGCGGGUUGGAAAGUCAGGUGUGAAAUCCUACAGCUUAACUGUAGAACUGCACUUGAAACUUCUAAUCUAGAGUAUGGGAGGGGGAGAUGGAAUUAGUGGUGUAGGGGUAAAAUCCGUAGAUAUCACCAGGAAUACCUAAAGCGAAGGCGAUCUCCUGGAACAUUACUGACGCUAAGGCGUGAAAGCGUGGGGAGCAAACAGGAUUAGAUACCCCAGUAGUC